This is a long non-coding RNA of Oenanthe melanoleuca, 563 nucleotides long. RefSeq lists it as uncharacterized. The record is from RefSeq and is a predicted model, not a curated record. NCBI's taxonomy places the organism in Eukaryota, Metazoa, Chordata, Aves, Passeriformes, Muscicapidae. The transcript is spliced from 3 exons.
GGGAGCCUCCUGGCUUGCAGUCCUGAGCUCUAACCAUCUAAUCUCCCAGCCCAGAGGAAACUGCGGUGUCCCUUUGGGCCCUCGGCCCCUUGUAGCAGGAUGACGACUUCUGCUCUCUGCUGGGCUUGGUGUAGAUUCACGUGGGAAAGCUGGAGAAGAAAUGCCAGUUCACUGGAGCAGCACUGGAAGUGCCAGGCCAGCUUUCGGUCUCAUGGUUUCCAGACUUGUUUCCAGCUGGGGAAAGGAGGAGCAGUGAUAAUGUGGUGGGCUAGAUCCUCUCAGGAGACUCAGCUGUCUUGAAAGGCCGUUCUGCUUCCCGUUGUUUAUUAUUGUUGGACGGUGAAGGGACAGCUGCUAUGCUACAUCCUAGAGGUAGCUGCACGUCCAGGGCUGCAUGAAGUGAUGGCUGAAAAUGCCAGCUUGGCAGCUCUUCUGGCCCUCCUUGGGGCAGGCCCUUGCCCCCUGCUUCUGCUGUGGCUUUGUUCUGUGAGACAAGAGCAAAACAUUUUGUAGCUGCUAUUGAAAGGAGUUUCUCAACCUUUUAGGAUAAUCCCUGUUUUAAA